CGGCGUGGGUAUGGACAUGGGGGAACCCUGAUCCAGCAAUGCCGCGUGUGUGAAGAAGGUCUUCGGAUUGUAAAGCACUUUUGGCAGGGACGAUGAUGACGGUACCUGCAGAAUAAGCCCCGGCUAACUUCGUGCCAGCAGCCGCGGUAUUUAUACGUGCCAGCAGCCGCGGUAAUAAACUUUUUUCCCCCCCGC
RNAcentral lists this ribosomal RNA (195 nucleotides) under uncultured bacterium. Its description in RNAcentral is "partial 16S ribosomal RNA". The stretch from base 1 to 164 matches the Rfam family "Bacterial small subunit ribosomal RNA", at positions 352 to 539 of the family's 1533-position model. The record is from RNAcentral.